AAUAAAAAAUAUUUUACCGUCGGUAUUCGACGAGAACGAUUUCAAGUUUUUCACAGUACAUUUUGUCCCUUUUUUCAACAAUUAAACUAUUCUGAAAGUAAAUGUGUUUCUAAACGUAUGUUUUUUAGUAGUGUGUGCAGUGAAUAAUAUUAAGGGUUAUAUCCUCCCCCUCAUUUUGACAGCUUAGGGUAAGAUGACGAUUCCUAGGAAAAGAUGACACUUCCUAGUGCGAUAAAAAAUAUCAUUGUCUGAGAAUUGUCGAAAUUUCCGUAGUUUAUUAGAUAAUCUUAUUACGUAUCACCUUCCAGCUCGAUAAAGUGUACGAUCGAUCGAUUUAACGAUAAAAACAUGAAUAAGAUGUUUAAUGUACUUCGAAAUCAAAAGAAGACGAGAAAGUUGA
This is a non-coding RNA of Cinara cedri, 400 nucleotides long. The record is from the annotation of a GenBank genome assembly. NCBI's taxonomy places the organism in Eukaryota, Metazoa, Arthropoda, Insecta, Hemiptera, Aphididae.